AGUGACUUGCAAGGAGUAAGAACAAAUGACAAAAGGGAUGGAAGUGACAGGAUUCUCAGUGGAAACAAGAGGCCGGUAACAGUUUGUGGAUUGACAUCCAUCUGCAGACCACCGUUGGAGCAGCCACGUCCUAAAGAAUGUACCACAAUCUAGUUUUGUAAUUAUUAUACAGAAAAAUAUCUGUGGCGUCAAAUAAAUUUGGAAAAUGUGCACAACUUC
Galeopterus variegatus (Sunda flying lemur) is the source of this 219-nucleotide long non-coding RNA. RefSeq lists it as uncharacterized. The transcript is spliced from 2 exons. Lineage: Eukaryota; Metazoa; Chordata; Mammalia; Dermoptera; Cynocephalidae. The record is from RefSeq and is a predicted model, not a curated record.